Molecule: ribosomal RNA, 433 nt
Filed under: uncultured bacterium
Lineage: Bacteria
Description: partial 16S ribosomal RNA
Rfam family: Bacterial small subunit ribosomal RNA
Source: RNAcentral
AGCGAACGCUGGCGGCAGGCUUAACACAUGCAAGUCGAGCGGGCACUUCGGUGUCAGCGGCAGACGGGUGAGUAACACGUGGGAACGUACCCUUUGGUUCGGAAUAACGCUGGGAAACUAGCGCUAAUACCGGAUACGCCCUUUUGGGGAAAGGCUUGCUGCCGAAGGAUCGGCCCGCGUCUGAUUAGCUAGUUGGAGGGGUAAUGGCCUACCAAGGCGACGAUCAGUAGCUGGUCUGAGAGGAUGAUCAGCCACACUGGGACUGAGACACGGCCCAGACUCCUACGGGAGGCAGCAGUGGGGAAUAUUGGACAAUGGGCGCAAGCCUGAUCCAGCCAUGCCGCGUGAGUGAUGAAGGCCUUAGGGUUGUAAAGCUCUUUUGUCCGGGACGAUAAUGACGGUACCGGAAGAAUAAGCCCCGGCUAACUUCGUG